AUGGACAUCCAGCAGCUUCUUCAGAGUUUUGGAGGCACCACCACCUCAUUCCCGCUUAAAUAUUUGGGCCUCCCGCUUACUCUGACAAGAACACGGCUAGUGCACCUUCAGUUUGUCUUGGAUCGAAUCAGAGCAGGAUUGGCUGGAUGGAAGGGCAAACUCAUGACUAUUGCUGGACGAUGGGUGCUCGUCAGAGCAGUGCUGACUGCCAUCCCAGUUUUUGCUAUGACAGUACUCUGUAUGCCAAAGAAAUUCUUCAAGGAAAUUGACAAAGUGAGGCGUCGCUUUCUGUGGGCAGAAGAGGAGGAGCUAUCCGGAGGCAAAUGCAAAGUAAGCUGGAGCAAAGUUUGCUCCCCGUUGAGAAAGAAGGGUUGGGCAUUCUCAAUCUGGAGCAUUUUGGCCGGGCCCUGCGCCAGCGAUGGCUUUGGCAAACCUGGAAACACCCAGACAGGCCAUGGGUAG
RNAcentral lists this ribosomal RNA (462 nucleotides) under Triticum aestivum (bread wheat). Its description in RNAcentral is "partial small subunit ribosomal RNA". Lineage: Eukaryota; Viridiplantae; Streptophyta; Magnoliopsida; Poales; Poaceae. The record is from RNAcentral.